GGAGACAGGUGCUGCAUGGCUGUCGUCAGCUCGUGUCGUGAGAUGUUGGGUUAAGUCCCGCAACGAGCGCAACCCUUGCCUUUAGUUGCCAGCAGUUCAGCUGGGCACUCUAAAGGGACUGCCGGUGUUAAACCGGAGGAAGGUGGGGAUGACGUCAAGUCCUCAUGGCCUUUAUGACCAGGGCUACACACGUACUACAAUGGCCGAUACAAAGGGCAGCGACACUGCGAGGUGAAGCCAAUCCCGUAAAAUCGGUCUCAGUCCGGAUUGGAGUCUGCAACUCGACCCCAUGAAGUUGGAAUCGCUAGUAAUCGUGGAUCAGCAUGCCACGGUGAAUACGUUCCCGGGCCUU
This 352-nucleotide ribosomal RNA is filed under the name uncultured Desulfobulbus sp. RNAcentral describes it as "bacterial SSU rRNA". It matches the Rfam family "Bacterial small subunit ribosomal RNA", at positions 1030 to 1382 of the family's 1533-position model. Lineage: Bacteria; Pseudomonadati; Thermodesulfobacteriota; Desulfobulbia; Desulfobulbales; Desulfobulbaceae. The record is from RNAcentral.